AUUAGCUAGUUGGUAGGGUAACGGCCUACCCAGGCGACGAUCAGUAGGGGAUCUGAGAGGUUGAUCCCCCACACUGGUACUGAGAUACGGACCAGACUCCUACGGGAGGCAGCAGUAGGGAAUAUUGGGCAAUGGGCGCAAGCCUGACCCAGCCAUGCCGCGUGCAGGAUGAAGGCCUUUUCGGUUGUAAACUGCUUUUCUACAGGAAGAAACGCUCUCUGCGGAGAGAAUCGACGGUACUGUAGGAAUAAGCACCGGCUAACUCCGUGCCAGCAGCCGCGGUAAUACGGAGGGUGCAAGCGUUGUCCGGAUUUACUGGGUUUAAAGGGUGCGUAGGCGGAAAAUUAAGUCAGUGGUGAAAGCCUGCGGCUCAACCGCAGAAGUGCCAUUGAUACUGGUUUUCUUGAGUGCAGUGGAGGUAGGCGGAAUUUAUGGUGUAGCGGUGAAAUGCAUAGAUACCAUAAAGAACACCGAUAGCGUAGGCAGCUUACUACGCUGUAACUGACGCUGAGGCACGAAAGCGUGGGGAUCAAACAGGAUUAGAUACCCUGGUAGUCCACGCUGU
RNAcentral lists this ribosomal RNA (565 nucleotides) under uncultured bacterium. RNAcentral describes it as "bacterial SSU rRNA". It matches the Rfam family "Bacterial small subunit ribosomal RNA", at positions 240 to 803 of the family's 1533-position model. The record is from RNAcentral.